Molecule: ribosomal RNA, 547 nt
Filed under: Gillisella vitis
Lineage: Bacteria; Pseudomonadati; Pseudomonadota; Alphaproteobacteria; Hyphomicrobiales; Rhizobiaceae
Description: bacterial SSU rRNA
Rfam family: Bacterial small subunit ribosomal RNA
Source: RNAcentral
UGCAGUCGAGCGCCUCGCAGAGGAGCGGCAGACGGGUGAGUAACGCGUGGGAAUCUACCGUACCCUACGGAAUAGCUCUGGGAAACUGGAAGUAAUACCGUAUACGCCCUUUUGGGGAAAGAUUUAUCGGGGUAUGAUGAGCCCGCGUUGGAUUAGCUAGUUGGUGGGGUAAAGGCCUACCAAGGCGACGAUCCAUAGCUGGUCUGAGAGGAUGAUCAGCCACAUUGGGACUGAGACACGGCCCAAACUCCUACGGGAGGCAGCAGUGGGGAAUAUUGGACAAUGGGCGCAAGCCUGAUCCAGCCAUGCCGCGUGAGUGAUGAAGGUCUUAGGAUUGUAAAGCUCUUUCACCGAUGAAGAUAAUGACGGUAGUCGGAGAAGAAGCCCCGGCUAACUUCGUGCCAGCAGCCGCGGUAAUACGAAGGGGGCUAGCGUUGUUCGGAAUUACUGGGCGUAAAGCGCACGUAGGCGGGUAUUUAAGUCAGGGGUGAAAUCCCGCAGCUCAACUGCGGAACUGCCUUUGAUACUGGGUAUCUUGAGUAUGGAA